Molecule: long non-coding RNA, 631 nt
Filed under: Ursus maritimus (polar bear)
Lineage: Eukaryota; Metazoa; Chordata; Mammalia; Carnivora; Ursidae
Description: lncRNA (ENSUMAG00000022097.1)
Source: RNAcentral
GCACCGUCCCGCCUGGGGCUCCCCGCCCCAGCCAGGCGUGGGGGCAGCACGCAGCCGGAGUCCGGAAACGCUGGGUCAGACGCGAGAGCUUUCGCUGGGGAGUCAAGAACCUCAUCUGUGUUUGCUUCCCGGUGCUCUCUCCACUCUCCUUCCCCACGCUUAGAGCNNNNNNNNNNNNNNNNNNNNNNNNUCAGGAAAUCCUGCCGCUGGUGUCUGCUUCCCAGAAAACCUGGCCAGUCGUUCCCAGGAGAACACAGUGUCCCACAGCCCCUUCCACGGACCGGCCCAGUGUCCCCGCUGAGGCUGGAAACCUGUUCUGACGUGUUGCCCUCUGGCUGGAGAGAAAUCGCCGCCUGGGAACCCGGCGCCGGAAGACACCUAGGAUGGGCAUUUGUCUGGGCAUUGGAAUGAGGCGUGUGUGGUUACCGUCAGCAGAGACUGGAGAGUCGAAAGCAAAGUCCGUUGAGUCUCAGCGGACUUGGGAUGGCUAGAGGCCCAUCUGUGUUGGUAUCCUGCUUCAAAGCCACGUCAGUGUUUGCGAAAGGAAGUCUUCUAGAAAUUCCGUGGUUCUUGUGGGUGUAAGAAUUCACGUUAUUGAACAUAUUUGAAUAAAAAGACACCGUUCAGCCCA